This 253-nucleotide ribosomal RNA is filed under the name uncultured bacterium. RNAcentral describes it as "partial 16S ribosomal RNA". It matches the Rfam family "Bacterial small subunit ribosomal RNA", at positions 524 to 776 of the family's 1533-position model. The record is from RNAcentral.
UACGUAGGGUGCGAGCGUUGUCCGGAAUUACUGGGCGUAAAGAGCUCGUAGGUGGUUUGUCGCGUUGUCCGUGAAAACUCACAGCUCAACUGUGGGCGUGCGGGCGAUACGGGCAGACUGGAGUACUGCAGGGGAGACUGGAAUUCCUGGUGUAGCGGUGAAAUGCGCAGAUAUCAGGAGGAACACCGGUGGCGAAGGCGGUUCUCUGGGCAUUACCUGACGCUGAGGAGCGAAAGUGUGGGGAGCGAACAGG